GAUGAACGCUGGCGGCGUGCCUAAUACAUGCAAGUCGAGCGAACAGACGAGGAUCUUGCUCCUCUGACGUUAGCGGCGGACGGGUGAGUAACACGUGGAUAACCUACCUAUUAGACUGGGAUAACUUCGGGAAACUGGAGCUAAUACCGGAUAAUAUAUUGAACGGCAUGGUUCAAUAGUGAAAUAGGUUUUUGCUGUCCUUUAUACAUGGAUCCGCGCCGCAUUAGUGAGUUGGUACGGUAACGGCUUACCAAGGCCACGAUGGGUAGCCGACCGGGGAGGGUGAUGGGCCACACUGAAACUGAGAGACGAUCCUGACUCCGACGGGCGGCCGCAGUAGGGACUCUUGCGAGCUGGGCGAAAGCCUGCAGGAGCAGCGCAGGGUGGGUGAAGAAGGUCUUCGGAGCGUAAGACGCUGUUAGUAGGGAAGAACACUUGUGUAAGUAACUAUGCACGUCUUGACGGUACCUAGUCAGAAAGCCACGGCUAACUACGUG
RNAcentral lists this ribosomal RNA (497 nucleotides) under uncultured bacterium. Its description in RNAcentral is "partial 16S ribosomal RNA". It matches the Rfam family "Bacterial small subunit ribosomal RNA", at positions 28 to 507 of the family's 1533-position model. The record is from RNAcentral.